Molecule: ribosomal RNA, 253 nt
Filed under: uncultured bacterium
Lineage: Bacteria
Description: partial 16S ribosomal RNA
Rfam family: Bacterial small subunit ribosomal RNA
Source: RNAcentral
UACGGAGGAUCCAAGCGUUAUCCGGAUUUAUUGGGUUUAAAGGGUGCGUAGGCGGAUUGAUAAGUUAGAGGUGAAAUGUCCGAGCUCAACUCGGGAACUGCCUCUAAUACUGUUGAUCCAGAGAGUAGAUGCGGUAGGCGGAAUGUAUGGUGUAGCGGUGAAAUACUUAGAGAUCAUACAGAACACCGAUUGCGAAGGCAGCUUACCAAUCUAUAUCUGACGUUGAGGCACGAAAGCGUGGGGAGCAAACAGG